UAGUGGAACUGUUUGGGAAGGAUUAGGAGGUGAGGUGUGACCUUGUUGAAGUAAGAUUAAGAGGUGGCCUUGUUGGAGGAGGUGUGUUGGGGGUGAGCUCUAAAGUUUCAAAAGCCCGUGCCAGGCCCAGUCUCCUCUGUGUCUGCUGCCUGAGAUUCAGAUGUAAACCUUUUGCUCAACUACUGCUCCCCCACUGUGCCUGUCUACUUCCCACCAUGAUAACCAUGGACCAACCUUCUAAAACCGUAGGCAAGCACCGGAUUCAAUGUUUUAUUUUAUAAGAAUUUCCUGGGUCACAGUGCUUCUUCACAGCAGUAGAACAAGAGCCAAGACAGAAAUCAACGGGAAACUACACAAAUCCAACCCUGGGAGGAUGACAAACAGCAGAGACCCUUCAGGAAUGAAGGUAUGGGUCCCUCCUCCAGGGGAAGAACCAAGAUCUGCCAAGGUGCUUGCUGAGGGUGGAGGAAACACAGAAACAGUAGAGGAGGAAGAUAGUUAUAACUACCAGCUUUGUCAUGUAACCAAUUGCAAAAAACAAGGAUUAUAAUUGACGUGAGUCCUUUAGUUAUAUUUUGUUAAGAUAUGUUUGGGCAGAUAUUUGCUUUAUUUUCUUGAUUUAUCAUGCAGUAUCACAUCAAUGAGAGAAUACCAAUGAUUGUUAUAUGUAUGGUUGAGAUUCUGAAAGAUUUUUUCCUUAAGGAACAGUACCAUUUAUUCUAAAAAAUGCAUCACGUGUUUGCUAUAGUACACGAGGUAGUUAUAUCAAUUUAGGCAUAAUUAUGGCUUGGUAAUUGUUUUCAUUUGGAAACUAAGCAUGGCUUAAGGAGAUGCCAUUAUGUAUCAAGUAGACAAGGGGUGGAGUUGUGAUUGAUAUUCUUGGUUGUCAACUUGAAUACACCUGGAAUUAACUAAAAUCCAAGCAGUUGGGUUCACCUGUGAGGGAUUUUUUCCUAAUCCAAUCAUUUGAAGUGGGAAGAGCCAUCUUUAAUCCAGAUCAUUUGAGGUGGGUACAUCCACCUUAAGUAUGGGCCACUCCUUCCUGUGGCAGCCAUAUAAAGGGCUUUGAAGGAGGAGGCUUUUGUUCUUUGCCUGUGUGCCCUCCCUCUCACUGGCAAGUCUAACCCUUCACUGGCGUCAGAGCCUACUUCUUCAGGAUUCCUGUGUAUACUGAAGACCAGCUUAGACAUCCAGCCUCAUAGACUGAAUAACCGCUAGAUUCUCGGACUUUCUGUUAGGAUAUGGCCAGUGCUGGACUAGCCUAAGCAUAGCCUGUAAGCCACUCUACUAAAUCCCAAGUAUGUGAGAACCCUGACUUAUGCAGGUAGUAUUUCACAUUUAAACUACAAUACCUUCAGGAUAUGUACUCACUCCUGAGCUUAUUUCUAUAUUCAUUAUCUCUAUCUACAUUAAACUAUAGGUCAGUUGAUGGUCAUGUCCUUUGCUUGAUUCAAAGGCAACAGUGGCAGCAGAUGGUGUCUCACAGUCAAUUCUAUCUCAGUCUUGCUAUGACUGUACGUUCCAACUACUCCAGGAGCAACUUCUUAAGUCUUUUCUUUAGGCCACCUCUAAAUAUUAGGCUGUAGUAAAAUCAUAGCUCUGGGAGCAGGGCCCUGCAUAGAUAUGAUGACACAAGACAAGCUGGUCACCGAGUAUCUUCAUGCUGCUCUCUGACUAGCCAAGGUGACAGGCCAUAUGAAGUGUGCCUACACUCCGAGGACUCAGCAGACCCGUGUUUCUGGUUUGAGUAUUCUGGCAGUCACACACAGACAGAGACAUGACUCAUGUGUGAAGGAUAGUGCUUUCAGGGGUCAUUUUACUCAAUUUCCAGAGACCAUAGAGCACUGCAGACAUCAGGAAAUGGUGCUAGGAAAGCCCCUGUAAUUGCAACCAAGACUUAAAGUCUAGGUCUCUGUCUCGUUUCUUCCUACUCUUCCUCCUCCUUCUUUUUCCUCUCUCUUCUCUCUCUUUCCUCCCCUCUUCCUCUUCCUUUGCCUCCACCCCCUUCUAAGUAUUUCUGUCAUUUUUAAAAACUGUCUUUUGUAACAGUUUUUAAGGCUUUUGCAGGCCAGGUUGAUGGGAGAAGAAAGCCUGUGUCACAGACCUGAGUGUCAGCAAUAUGGUACGGGAGGGGGAAAAAUGCAGUUUCCAUUGCAGAAGCAAUUUUGACCAAACGGCCAGGCACCAAGCUCCUGAGAAAUGUCUCUUAGAGCUUGAAAAUGAAAUGCCUGGGGAGCACUGUACCGGGCCAAGCCCAGCUCUAUCUGAACAUCUCAUAAAUGUCCCGACAAGCAUAGCCUGACAGCGAAGAAAAUGUAGGAGAACCAGUUCUGAAAUGCAGUGAGACGGAAUAAAGGAAAGCUCAGGCUCAGCUGCUCACGGAAGUUCACAUGCACAAGCAUCCUAAGCAAGGAGCGACUGUUCGGGCAUAUACUUCUCUGAGAACUGGAACAGAGCCAGAAAGCUCCAACCAGAGUGUUAGAAACAUCUAUAACUACUCUGGAACCUUCCAGCUAGAAGACAAGCUUUGAAGACAAUGUGCCCCCACCUGGAGGAUUGGGUGACUGAGAUAUUGAUCUAAGAAGUUUAUGUGCACAAAAUGGAUUUCCUAUUACCUUAAAUAAUGGCAACUGUGUUUUUCAGCUGUUUCUAAUACUGUUAGGAGGUCUUUGUUGGAUAUACUGUUUAUAGUCCAUGAAAGCUUUAUUGCAAUUCAAUAUCUGACUUAUUAGAGAAACUAGGUAACACAAGCAAGUCCCCUUCUAGCCACCUGACAAAUGAAUUGACAAUGUAACGAUUUGCAUAGCACUGAGAACAGGUGACCUCAAGCUCAGAGGUCUGUCUGCUUUUGCCUCCUGAGUGAGUGCAGGGAUUAAAGAGGAGCAGGGCAGCAUUCAGCUGAGAAUAGAGCUAGGAAGGACUCAGGGACUAUGGGAGGUGAAGAAAGAAAAGAAUGAGAUCUAGAACAGAUCCUGUAUUGUGUGUACUGAUCUUCCCCUUGAGACUGAAGACUUUAUAUCUGCAGUUGCUAGCUGACAACCUCCAGUCCUCAGUCUGAAGACUGUUUUUUUUUCCUUGCCAAAAAGCACUGCUUUCUGCCAGUGUGUGGCAGUGCUGAAGAGCCCUGAUAGUUCUGGAGCACUCCCUAGUACUACCAAGGCCUGUUCCGAUGGAAGCUUGAUGCUCUGCUUGCUUCUUUUACAGCUCUCAGGCGCUGAUCCCAGGGGCCUCCCUGAUGUUCCCCCAUGCUAAUUUGUUCUGAGUCAACUUCCCAGGGAACUUGACCUAGAGUAAAUACCAUGGCAGCCCUACUCUUAUUGUUUAUUUGCACAGAUUAUCCCUGAUGAAUAUGGUUUGAUGUACUAGUUUUUAACUUUACAAUGGUGUGAAACCAACACCAUUUAGUAUAAGAUUUUUGAUUUUGAUUUUGGUCAGUUCCCAGGCUCAUGAAAUGUGCCAAUGAGCCGUCGCUCUCAAAUCAGUUAUAGGAUCGUAAGUGUAAAUACUUAACAUUCUCUGUGCCAACUUGCUAAAGUGUAAUAUUCCAACAGAUUAAUGCAUUUAUGACCUGUGGAAGAUAUUUUCAAUGCAUAUUGGAAUUAUCAGAACAUAACCACAGUUUAGAAGCCUCUAUAUAUGGAAUAUUCAUGUAGGAUUUUAUUGAAAGCAAUUCAAACUGGUUUCACACUUAAAUGCUUUACCCAGUAAGGAAAAUUAUCAUUAUGUUAUAUAUGGAAGACUACUUUAUGGUUCAUCUUUCAAACUAACAUCAGGGGAGUAUUGUUUCUUUUUCUAUUAGCCUUUGUAUUUAUUUUGCAUUUAUAAACAUAUCCUUAUGCCUUAGAGCAGAAAUGUAUUAGCUAAUAGAAUGAGUCAUGACUAUUUUUAAUGUUCCUAACAUACCUAAAAUCAAGAAUGUUCAUUAAUAAAAGUGACUGUAACAAACCA
This is a long non-coding RNA of Mus musculus (house mouse), 3948 nucleotides long. RefSeq annotates it as predicted gene, 35585. The transcript has 2 exons. The record is from RefSeq and is a predicted model, not a curated record. Lineage: Eukaryota; Metazoa; Chordata; Mammalia; Rodentia; Muridae.